RNAcentral lists this ribosomal RNA (1119 nucleotides) under Escherichia coli. RNAcentral's name for it is "partial 23S ribosomal RNA". It matches the Rfam family "Bacterial large subunit ribosomal RNA", at positions 30 to 1191 of the family's 2925-position model. Lineage: Bacteria; Pseudomonadati; Pseudomonadota; Gammaproteobacteria; Enterobacterales; Enterobacteriaceae. The record is from RNAcentral.
GCCCUGGCAGUCAGAGGCGAUGAAGGACGUGCUAAUCUGCGAUAAGCGUCGGUAAGGUGAUAUGAACCGUUAUAACCGGCGAUUUCCGAAUGGGGAAACCCAGUGUGAUUCGUCACACUAUCAUUAACUGAAUCCAUAGGUUAAUGAGGCGAACCGGGGGAACUGAAACAUCUAAGUACCCCGAGGAAAAGAAAUCAACCGAGAUUCCCCCAGUAGCGGCGAGCGAACGGGGAGGAGCCCAGAGCCUGAAUCAGUGUGUGUGUUAGUGGAAGCGUCUGGAAAGGCGCGCGAUACAGGGUGACAGCCCCGUACACAAAAAUGCACAUGCUGUGAGCUCGAUGAGUAGGGCGGGACACGUGGUAUCCUGUCUGAAUAUGGGGGGACCAUCCUCCAAGGCUAAAUACUCCUGACUGACCGAUAGUGAACCAGUACCGUGAGGGAAAGGCGAAAAGAACCCCGGCGAGGGGAGUGAAAAAGAACCUGAAACCGUGUACGUACAAGCAGUGGGAGCCUCUUUAUGGGGUGACUGCGUACCUUUUGUAUAAUGGGUCAGCGACUUAUAUUCUGUAGCAAGGUUAACCGAAUAGGGGAGCCGAAGGGAAACCGAGUCUUAACUGGGCGUUAAGUUGCAGGGUAUAGACCCGAAACCCGGUGAUCUAGCCAUGGGCAGGUUGAAGGUUGGGUAACACUAACUGGAGGACCGAACCGACUAAUGUUGAAAAAUUAGCGGAUGACUUGUGGCUGGGGGUGAAAGGCCAAUCAAACCGGGAGAUAGCUGGUUCUCCCCGAAAGCUAUUUAGGUAGCGCCUCGUGAAUUCAUCUCCGGGGGUAGAGCACUGUUUCGGCAAGGGGGUCAUCCCGACUUACCAACCCGAUGCAAACUGCGAAUACCGGAGAAUGUUAUCACGGGAGACACACGGCGGGUGCUAACGUCCGUCGUGAAGAGGGAAACAACCCAGACCGCCAGCUAAGGUCCCAAAGUCAUGGUUAAGUGGGAAACGAUGUGGGAAGGCCCAGACAGCCAGGAUGUUGGCUUAGAAGCAGCCAUCAUUUAAAGAAAGCGUAAUAGCUCACUGGUCGAGUCGGCCUGCGCGGAAGAUGUAACGGGGCUAAACCAUG